This 775-nucleotide ribosomal RNA is filed under the name uncultured Neocallimastigales. Its description in RNAcentral is "partial large subunit ribosomal RNA". It matches the Rfam family "Eukaryotic large subunit ribosomal RNA", at positions 23 to 616 of the family's 3401-position model. Lineage: Eukaryota; Fungi; Neocallimastigomycota; Neocallimastigomycetes; Neocallimastigales. The record is from RNAcentral.
AGAGAGAGACAUGCGCGCAUAUCAAUAAGCGGAGGAAAAGAAACUAACUAGGAUUCCCCUCAGUAACGGCGAGUGAAGCGGGAAGAGCUCAAAUUUGAAAUCUUAAAGGGUUUCCCUUUACGAAUUGUAGUUUAAAGAAGUGUUUUCUGUUGAGGUUUUGGUAAAAGUUCUUUGGAAUAGGACAUCAUAGAGGGUGAGAAUCCCGUAUUUGACCUUUACUUUCAACUUUGUGAUACACUUUCAAAGAGUCGGAUUGUUUGGGAAUGCAGUCCAAAAUGGGUGGUAAAUUUCAUCUAAAGCUAAAUAUUGGCGAGAGACCGAUAGCGAACAAGUACCGUGAGGGAAAGAUGAAAAGAACUUUGAAAAGAGAGUUAAACAGUACGUGAAAUUGUCAAAAGGGAAGCGUUUGACACCAGUGUUGUUUUUCUGAAAAUCAAUUAAAGAACUGUUUAUGCUAAGUUGUUUAGACUUUAUCAGCUAACUGUUUAGUUUUGAGCUUUUCUUUAAUGCACUUUUCAGUUAACAAGUCAACAUCAAUUUCUUUUGCUGUAAAAAAGCUUGAGGAAGGUGGCUUGAGAUUCGUCUUAAGUGUUUAUAGCCUCUUGCCUAUGCAGUCGGAGAGAUUGAGGUCUGCAGCGUAGAUCCUUCGGGGCUAAAUGCAUUUGUGCUAAGUUAUAGCAUUUUAUAGACAACUUGUUGACUAUGAUUUGUCUUGUAGCUUACUCGCUUAUGUUAUUUUACCUACGCUUAGGAUGUUGAGCGCAUGUCUCUCUCU